GCAGUGCUGAAGGGACCAUGGUGAAAUUGAAAACAUAACAAGAGUGCUGCAGGAAGAGGAUGGUACAGGUCAGGAGUGGUGAUGACCAAUGAUGUUACAGGUGGAGGGUCAGAUAUGUUGGCUGGGUGCUGGAAGAGGAUACAUUUCUCAGUUUUUGUGAGGAAGUCUGCCAAAAAGCUACUGUCGUCUUCCUGGUAGCUUCCAGCACCUGCUCUCAGUCUUGUCUUGACCUUUUUGUUCCUGACAAACUGGUCUGCCUCAAAAUGGGCCUGCAGACAGGGAAGCCAUACAUUCGCACUCCUUUCUCAGAAGGAUUGGAGCAUCCCCAUGCAGCACAGCAAACCAUGGUGGAGACUAUACAAGGACAUCGUGGAGAAAAGGA
Molecule: long non-coding RNA, 382 nt
Organism: Sinocyclocheilus grahami
Lineage: Eukaryota; Metazoa; Chordata; Actinopteri; Cypriniformes; Cyprinidae
Exons: 4
Source: RefSeq, a predicted model, not a curated record